AUGGCUCGUGCUGUUGUUCCGUUGAAUUUUAAUGCGUUCCUUGAGAAAGCAAAGUUGAAAGAUGAUGGUAGCAAUUACACGGACUGGGUCCGUAACUUGAGGAUUAUCCUCAUUGCUGCACAGAAGAAUUACGUCCUGGAAGCACCGCUGGGUGCCAAGCCUACUGCUGGAGCAACACCAGAUGUUAUGAACGUCUGGCAGAGCAAAGCUGAUGACUACUCGAUAGUUCAGUGUGCCAUGCUUUACGGCUUAGAAUCGGGACUUCAACGACGUUUUGAACGUCAUGGAAGAUAUGAGAUGUUUCAGGAGUUGAAGUUAAUAUUUCAAGCAAAUGCCCGGAUUGAGAGAUAUGAAGUCUCCAAUAAGUUCUAUAGCUGCAAGAUGGAAGAGAACAGUUCUGUCAGUGAGCAUAUACUCAAAAUGUCUGGGUAUAAUAAUCACUUGAUUCAAUUGGGAGUUAAUCGUCCAGAUGAUUGCGUCAUUGACAGAAUUCUCCAAUCACUGCCACCAAGCUACAAGAGCUUCGUGAUGAACUAUAAUAUGCAAGGGAUGAACAAG
RNAcentral lists this ribosomal RNA (558 nucleotides) under Triticum aestivum (bread wheat). Its description in RNAcentral is "partial small subunit ribosomal RNA". Lineage: Eukaryota; Viridiplantae; Streptophyta; Magnoliopsida; Poales; Poaceae. The record is from RNAcentral.